UGGGGAAUCUUGCACAAUGGGGGCAACCCUGAUGCAGCGACGCCGCGUGAGCGAUGAAGCCCUUCGGGGCGUAAAGCUCUUUCGACCGGAACGAUAAUGGCGGUACCGGGAGAAGAAGCUGCGGCUAACUACGUGCCAGCAGCCGCGGUAAUACGUAGGCAGCAAGCGUUGUUCGGAGUUACUGGGCGUAAAGAGUGCGUAGGCGGUUUUCUAAGUUCGGUGUGAAAUCUCCCGGCUUAACUGGGAGGGUGCGCCGAAGACUGGGAAGCUGGAGUGUGGGAAAGGCAGGCGGAAUUCCUGGUGUAGCGGUGAAAUGCGUAGAUAUCAGGAGGAACACCGGCGGUGUAGACGGCUUGCUAGACCAUAACUGACGCUGAGGCACGAAAGCGUGGGUAGCAAACAG
RNAcentral lists this ribosomal RNA (403 nucleotides) under uncultured bacterium. RNAcentral's name for it is "bacterial SSU rRNA". It matches the Rfam family "Bacterial small subunit ribosomal RNA", at positions 355 to 775 of the family's 1533-position model. The record is from RNAcentral.